UACAGAGGUCCCGAGCGUUGUUCGGAUUUAUUGGGCGUAAAGGGUGCGUAGGCGGCGGAGUAAGUUGGGUGUGAAAUCCCGGGGCUUAACCUCGGAAUGGCAUUCAAUACUGCUUCGCUCGAGUACUGGAGAGGAGGCUGGAAUUUACGGUGUAGCAGUGAAAUGCGUAGAUAUCUGGAGGAACACCGGUGGCGAAGGCGGCAUCCUGGACCAACACUGACGCUGAGGAGCGAAAGCCAGGGGAGCAAACGGG
RNAcentral lists this ribosomal RNA (253 nucleotides) under uncultured bacterium. RNAcentral describes it as "partial 16S ribosomal RNA". It matches the Rfam family "Bacterial small subunit ribosomal RNA", at positions 524 to 776 of the family's 1533-position model. The record is from RNAcentral.